UCUACUCAUGAUUGUGCCAUUGUAACUAUGGAAUCCACUACCAGGAUCCCAAUCUAUGUUGUAUUUUUUAAUAACAGCACUUCACUAGACCAUUGUACCCUCGCUGUCAUGACUACCAUGCAAACACUCAUACAUGCAUCAAUUAUGUAAUAUUUAACUACCAAAAAAGAUGAUAUUACGACAAGUAAAUGACCUAUUAAAAUGCUUUAAGUUUUAGAUCUUUGAAAAGAGUGAUAAAAUAUCCAUGCAAACAUUCCUCAUCAGAGAAAAUUCCAAUUUCUUAUUCUGAGAGUGGACUAAUGUUAGGAUUUGAUGCCU
Molecule: long non-coding RNA, 318 nt
Filed under: Elaeis guineensis (African oil palm)
Lineage: Eukaryota; Viridiplantae; Streptophyta; Magnoliopsida; Arecales; Arecaceae
Description: long non-coding RNA (EGUI_LNC059474)
Source: RNAcentral